UACGAAGGGGGCUAGCGUUGCUCGGAAUCACUGGGCGUAAAGCGCACGUAGGCCGAUUGUUAAGUCAGGGGUGAAAUCCUGGAGCUCAACUCCAGAACUGCCCUUGAUACUGACGGUCUCGAGUCCGGGAGAGGUGAGUGGAACUGCGAGUGUAGAGGUGAAAUUCGUAGAUAUUCGCAAGAACACCAGUGGCGAAGGCGGCUCACUGGACCGGUACUGACGCUGAGGUGCGAAAGCGUGGGGAGCAAACAGG
RNAcentral lists this ribosomal RNA (253 nucleotides) under uncultured bacterium. RNAcentral's name for it is "partial 16S ribosomal RNA". It matches the Rfam family "Bacterial small subunit ribosomal RNA", at positions 524 to 776 of the family's 1533-position model. The record is from RNAcentral.